This 253-nucleotide ribosomal RNA is filed under the name uncultured bacterium. RNAcentral describes it as "partial 16S ribosomal RNA". It matches the Rfam family "Bacterial small subunit ribosomal RNA", at positions 524 to 776 of the family's 1533-position model. The record is from RNAcentral.
UACGUAGGGUGCAAGCGUUGUCCGGAAUUAUUGGGCGUAAAGAGCUCGUAGGCGGUCUGUCGCGUCGGCUGUGAAAUCCCGAGGCUCAACCUCGGGUCUGCAGUCGAUACGGGCAGACUAGAGUUCGGUAGGGGAGUCUGGAAUUCCUGGUGUAGCGGUGAAAUGCGCAGAUAUCAGGAGGAACACCGGUGGCGAAGGCGGGACUCUGGGCCGAUACUGACGCUGAGGAGCGAAAGCGUGGGGAGCGAACAGG